This 305-nucleotide ribosomal RNA is filed under the name uncultured bacterium. RNAcentral describes it as "bacterial SSU rRNA". It matches the Rfam family "Bacterial small subunit ribosomal RNA", at positions 333 to 635 of the family's 1533-position model. The record is from RNAcentral.
UCUGGCCUACGGGGCGCAGCAGUAGGGAAUUUUCGUCAAUGGGCGCAAGCCUGAACGAGCGAUGCCGCGUGAGGGAAGACUGCCCUAUGGGUUGUAAACCUCUUUUGUCAGGGAGCAACGCCGGCUACGUGUAGCCGGACUGAGAGUACCUGAAGAAAAAGCAUCGGCUAACUCCGUGCCAGCAGCCGCGGUAAUACGGAGGAUGCGAGCGUUAUCCGGAUUUAUUGGGUUUAAAGGGUGCGUAGGCGGAAUGCCAAGUCAGCGGUAAAAUCGCGGGGCUCAACCUCGCUCCGCCGUUGAAACUG